RNAcentral lists this unclassified non-coding RNA (283 nucleotides) under Mycobacterium montefiorense. Its description in RNAcentral is "partial 16S-23S ribosomal RNA intergenic spacer". The record is from RNAcentral. Lineage: Bacteria; Bacillati; Actinomycetota; Actinomycetes; Mycobacteriales; Mycobacteriaceae.
AAGGAGCACCACGAGAAACACUCCAAUUGGUGGGGUGUGAGCCGUGAGGGGUUCUUGUCUGUAGUGGACGAGAGCCGGGUGCACAACAACAGGCAAUCGCCAGACACACUAUUGGGCCCUGAGACAACACUCGGCCAUCUUCGGUCGAUGUGGUGUCCCUCCAUCUUGGUGGUGGGGUGUGGUGUUUGAGUAUUGGAUAGUGGUUGCGAGCAUCUAAAUGAAUGCGUUGCCGGCAACGGUUGCGUGUUCGUUUUGUGUAAUUUUAUUUCUUUUGGUUUUUGUG